GCGCUCGUAGCUCAGCCGGAUAGAGCGCUGUCCUCCGGAGACAGAAGUCUCAGGUUCAAGUCCUGUCGAGCGCGCCA
This 77-nucleotide transfer RNA is filed under the name Candidatus Profftia tarda. Its description in RNAcentral is "tRNA-Arg". It matches the Rfam family "tRNA". From Rfam's summary of the family: Transfer RNA (tRNA) molecules are approximately 80 nucleotides in length. Their secondary structure includes four short double-helical elements and three loops (D, anti-codon, and T loops). The record is from RNAcentral. Lineage: Bacteria; Pseudomonadati; Pseudomonadota; Gammaproteobacteria; Enterobacterales; Enterobacteriaceae.